RNAcentral lists this non-coding RNA (30 nucleotides) under Mus musculus (house mouse). Lineage: Eukaryota; Metazoa; Chordata; Mammalia; Rodentia; Muridae. The record is from RNAcentral.
UGAGACUUAAUCUUGUGAGAAUUGAAUUCC